CAUUGGGCGCGCGACACCUCCGAACCUCUGGUAUGUCAUUACAGCGGUGGAAAGACUCCUGGCUCCAAACUGAAGUGGGAGAUACCCAAGGGUCCCAGUGAUGGCUGAAGCAAUUGUUGGGAGCAGCCUCAAGAGAGGGAAGCAGGCUUCAUGUUAAAAAGCAAUUGUAUUCUGGCCUUAGGUUAGAUCAAAGCAGCCAUACCUGGACCUGCACCUGCAGUUCUGCUUGAACUCAAUAGAUAGAAUAAAUCUGGUUGUCAGGUCGCUUAGCACCAGUGGUCAGGUCACUAAACAACCCACUCUACUGUCCCCCCCACACCCACUGGCCGAUUUACCCAGCCAAUAUCCUGGUCAUCGAGCCAGACCCAUUCUUCUGUGGUUACCUAACCCCUCCCCAUAUCCUCCUUCUACCAGUCUAUCUUCUGCCUGAGAAAAAUUAAAAAUUGUCAGCUUAAUCAGACCUCUUGAUUUACUGUCUGUUCUUUGCCUCUCUUGUCCCCCAUUCUCUCCUAGGUGGACCCCAGACCCUGGUCGAAUGCCCUGCGGGACGGGGCAAGCAAUGACCUCAUGCAGACCUGGAAGACGGUAUGUUUUACAUGUAGAUUCAACAACUGCUUCUGCCAGUGGUGGGCAUACACGCCACAACAGAGUUCGAAAUGACAGCCAGAGGACUCCCAGGAACCCAAGCCACAGAGAAAAAGCUAAGAGAAUACCACGCAUGCCACCAGCCCUGCGGUCUCAGGAUAAGCCUGCCACACAUCAGCCUGUGAAGCCAUCUGGCAAGAGGAGCCUGAGACAGGCAGAGGGUUAGGGAAGAGGCAGACGUUGUAGGCGCUCCAGGGAUGGAGGAGAAGGGUGUCGCUCAGAGUGGGGAACUCCCAGGAAAUGGAGGUCAUCUGAUGUCCAGGCAAGUCUAAGGGCUGUGAAAAUAAGUCCAGAGGCCUCUUGGGCUCCUGCAGAGGGACCAAGGGACAAAGUGACAGAAAUGUCCUGGUCAUCUCCAGCCCUUUAAGAUGGUCUGAAAGGUGAAAGCCACACCCAAAAAUCCACGGAGGUUCAGAAGGCAAGACUGCCACCUAACUACUAUAGGGGCCUUGGUGAGUAGAGAGGACCCUGGCCAUCGACAUCCCAAAGACUCGUGUCCUUGCUGAUUGGAGGGCACCAGAGUUUAGAAGGCAAGGGAACACAAAGUAAGGAAAGACCAUGACUGUGGAGGAGCUAACCUGACGGAAGCUCUGUGUGAGAAGUCGAUAUGGAGGAAAGAGAGUUAAAGCAACACAGCCUCUGACUGACUUCACUCUACUCCACUCGUCUGCUUCCCUGCUAACCCUGACCUCACAUCGUCCGUGUGGAGGCCACAUCCCUCAGUUGCAUGGCUGUACACCUGUGCCCCGAAGGACAGCGCUUUGGAUUCCUGGCAGAACAGAUGGACUCCUUGGCUGAAUUGUGCCUGGGAUUGAGGUGAGAGGCUGCCACUGCCUUGGGCAGAUCUUGUCCUGCUACUAUGGUGGACUAUAUCUAUGAACCGUGAGCCCAAAUAAAUCUUC
Molecule: small RNA, 1547 nt
Filed under: Rattus norvegicus (Norway rat)
Lineage: Eukaryota; Metazoa; Chordata; Mammalia; Rodentia; Muridae
Description: uncharacterized LOC102552550
Source: RNAcentral